AGUUCUUUCGGGAACUAGAGACCGGCGCACGGGUGCGUAACGCGUAUGCAACUUGCCCUACUGAAAAGGAUAGCCCUUCGAAAGGAGGAUUAAUACUUUAUAACAGAUUUAAUGGCAUCAUGAGAUUUUGAAAGAUUUAUCGCAGUAGGAUAGGCAUGCGUAAGAUUAGUUAGUUGGUGAGGUAACGGCUCACCAAGACGAUGAUCUUUAGGGGGCCUGAGAGGGUGAACCCCCACACUGGUACUGAGACACGGACCAGACUCCUACGGGAGGCAGCAGUGAGGAAUAUUGGACAAUGGGUGGAAGCCUGAUCCAGCCAUCCCGCGUGUAGGAUGACGGCCUUAUGGGUUGUAAACUACUUUUAUCUGGGGAUAAACCUACUUACGUGUAAGUAGCUGAAGGUACCAGAAGAAUAAGCACCGGCUAACUCCGUGCCAGCAGCCGCGGUAAUACGGAGGGUGCAAGCGUUAUCCGGAUUUAUUGGGUUUAAAGGGUCCGUAGGCGGAUUAAUCAGUCAGUGGUGAAAUCUCAUAGCUUAACUAUGAAACUGCCAUUGAUACUGUUAGUCUUGAGUGAUGUUGAAGUUGCUG
Molecule: ribosomal RNA, 590 nt
Filed under: Empedobacter sp.
Lineage: Bacteria; Pseudomonadati; Bacteroidota; Flavobacteriia; Flavobacteriales; Weeksellaceae
Description: bacterial SSU rRNA
Rfam family: Bacterial small subunit ribosomal RNA
Source: RNAcentral